GGGGUUUGAUCCUGGCUCAGGAUGAACGCUGGCGGCGUGCUCAACACAUGCAAGUCGAACGAACCUUCGGGUUAGUGGCGGACGGGUGAGUAACGCGUGAGAAUCUGCCCUCAGGAGGGAGAUAACAGCUGGAAACGGCUGCUAAUACCCCAUAUGCCGCGAGGUGAAAUGAAUUUCGCCUGAGGAUGAGCUCGCGUCUGAUUAGCUAGUUGGUGUGGGUAAUGGCUCACCAAGGCAUCGAUCAGUAGCUGGUCUGAGAGGAUGAUCAGCCACACUGGGACUGAGACACGGCCCAGACUCCUACGGGAGGCAGCAGUGGGGAAUUUUCCGCAAUGGGCGAAAGCCUGACGGAGCAACGCCGCGUGAGGGAUGAAGGCCUCUGGGCUGUAAACCUCUUUUAUCAAGGAAGAAGAUCUGACGGUACUUGAUGAAUAAGCCACGGCUAAUUCCGUGC
This 454-nucleotide ribosomal RNA is filed under the name uncultured bacterium. RNAcentral describes it as "bacterial SSU rRNA". It matches the Rfam family "Bacterial small subunit ribosomal RNA", at positions 9 to 508 of the family's 1533-position model. The record is from RNAcentral.